UGGGACAAUUUGAUGUAACUACAAGUUCAAAUAGACUUAAAGAGGCUAAUUUUAACCUUUUCAGGAGAGAGGGGAAAAAUACGGCAGAUGGUGAGAUGGUAAAGAUGUGAGCAUAAAACUUCUUAAUGUUGUCAGCUUUAUAUAUAUUGAAGAUACUGAAAGACCCUGGGAUUUGUGGUAAAUGUAAAAAGACUUCUGUUUCAGAGAAAUUGCGCUUCGCUUCAGAUGGAACACAAAGAGGUCAGCGAGGAUUUUGCAAAAACCAGCUGGUUUGAUUUUAACUCAUGACAAACGGUCCCAGACGAAGCCCUCCUUAGGGAAUGUGCCUUUUACUGUAUGUCUUUGUAAAUGAGUCACAGCAGAGCGUCUUAAGACCGGUUUUACGAGGGAGUGAUGACAAUGAUCAUUCCCGGAAUCGCAUUUUUCAAAAUUACAUUUAAAGCCAACAGCUUUGCUCUAGUUUUGUCAGCAAAUAUCAUCAGCAUUUUGUCUUCAUUACACCAAUAUCAUAAGCCACGACUAAUUCCUCUCUACCAACAGAAGCAGCUUGCACACCAAAACAACCCUUCAAAAUUGCCAACACGGGCUUUUUAAAACACCUGCUUCAUCAAAUCUAGCUGCGUUUCUUCCAAACUCAAAUGGUAAUGUUAUCUGAGCUCCCAAGUCAUCCAAGAUCUGCAAGAAAUGCACGCUUUCUAUUUGUUAUGCUGCUUUGGCAGCAGUGGAUGGGUUUCCUGCACCUUAUGAUGGGAAGAUCAAUUCUUCCCAAACCCCAGUAGCUGAGCAUUCUCCAGAGAGCACGGCGUUAUCUUUUAGAUAAGCUAACGUUGGCACAUUCGCACGGCGCUGCAGGUUAAUGCAACUCAAAGUGGAAGUGAGGGGCGGUGGGUGGAUGCAAACGUUGGGGGAUAAACUGGGGAAGUUGCUAGCACUGGGAUGAACUGCUCUGCGAGGAAUGGUUUUUCGUGUAUCCCUUUUGGAGUAAUCUAAUAUUGUUUCUCUUUUCCAUUAUCUUAUUUAAUUUCAAGAUUUUAGCCACCCACAGAAGAAGGGAAAAAGGGUGUGUGUUGGUGCAUCCAGCUAACUCAAUUAAGGCCCAGGGUUUUAGUCCUUUAUGUCGUGAUGGCUCAUUGAUUCGGCCAAUUGGUCCAGUCUACUUAACUUCAGACGCCAGCGAUCUUUCUUUUUUUAUGCAAAAUGCUGAAAAGCACAAUUUGUAACUUGAGAUGGUGGCAACAAUGUGCAAGAUCUGCAUGAAUAGAUAUGGUUAUUUCUGUAGGUCCCUUGACAAAGUGGGAAUGGGAAACAGGCCUGCAGUCAUUUCAGCGGUGAGAUCAAAACAUGGUGUGUAUGUUAAAGAGUCCACGGUUUAAUGGUUUGCAUGGAAUUCCCCUUCACUCACCACUUCCUUUAAGUAACUUUAAAAAGCUAAAGCUAAUUUGAACAUACAGUAUGCAAAUGGAAUAUUUUAAGGUCAAUAAAACACAACAAUAUUAUAGAUUUUACCAACUAAUGUAAACUUUGUUUUGAAUAUUUUAUUGGGUUAAUGCCAAUAAAUCAUAGAGAAUAUGUGUGUGAGACAGAACACCUACUAUCAAGGAAUUAAUGACAAGGCUCUAAACACGUGAUGAGAUAUUAAUUCUCAGGAUUUUUUCCCCUUUAUCAUCUGUGGAAGUAAACUAGUAACUCCUUCAAGAGCUACUUCCAUUUCUAAAUCGUGACAUAAAAUACUGACCCCACGCGGGAUUAAAACCGAAUAAGAGCGAUGCCAUUCGACGCCCUGUAAGGUCACACGGGUGGUUCUGAAGGCCAUGAAGGUUGUCUUGUGCCGCAGGUGUAAAGAGGGGUUGACCAGCAGGAGACGGCAACGGCUCGCGAUGUAUCCUCCCUCCACAGUUUAAGGUGCAGUAAGUGGAUAAGAGGGAUCAACGGUAUCCAAGCCACAACACAGCAGCCGAUCCCGUUAAGCCGAGCCAGGCGCUGUGGCUUCAGAUGGUCUCCUAACACUGACCACCCCUCAGAUGACUGCAUUGAACUGGAACGGACUGUAUUGGAAGGAACACAGACUCAUUCUUCUGCUUCUUAUUGUGUUUCUUCACAGUCCUCCUUUGUCUGUGUUUCUUUGGACACGCCAUUCCUGUAUUUUCAUGUAUUUGGGGAGCAAGAUGUACUUGAUUCAUUUCAGCCAAAUUAGAUCAGAUUAGUCUUUUGUCAUUUAUGCGAGCUUUGCAAAGCAGUCCGCCCUACACCCCCAGGUCAUAGCCUAUCCCUUUUCCACUGAUGCUCCCCCCCCACCCUGUGAUAAUGAUACUCACUCACUGGACUACAUUCAUCCUACUUCACGGGCCACACAGAUGCUUUAUUCAUAACACGUCCAUGUGGCAAAAAUAAUCCUUCCUGGACUCACAGCAAAAAGCCGGAACAGUUAGUUCCUCCGUGUUUUUCAUUAGAAUUGGCUUAAGAGUUCAACAGAAGAUAAAAAUGUUAUUUCAGUGGAUUACUUGUUUCUGGAGUCUGAAGGAGGCUGAAAAACUACGCAGGACCUGAAACAAGAGAUGCAGAAUAUGUGUAUGACUGCUCGCACAACGAUGUCGGAGGGGGACAAAGAGGUGUGGAGGACGCCUCCAAUGGAAUCUAUCCUGCGUCAGCGUGAUAAACACGCAGUUCUAAUCCACCAAUACGUUAGUGCGCAAAAUCGAUUUCUUCUUGAGGAAGGAGAGCAGGGUGAAGAAGGAGCUUCGGUCCUCACUUUCACCUCAGUGCAACAGGGAACGCCAGUUGUGAGCAGCGCUAUGGUAACAGCGGAUUAUCAUCCCUUUCCUAUCUGGGGCUGUGCACUUAAAACCACCGGAUAAAGGAAAGUCACUUUGUGCUGGUUAUGUCGCUGGCUUGUAGGCCACUUAUAUUAUGCCACUUAUAGAUCAUAUAACUAAGAUGUCAGUGAAUGUUUGCCUUUCAUUUCUUUUUACGUCUGGACUUCUGUUUUUUUUUUCUGCUGCAUCCCACUUUAGAUUAAUAAUAGUGCUCUAUAGCCACCUGUUACACACCUGAUCAGCCCUUUCCCUCUCAAUGGGACCAUCAUUCACUAAAUAUAAAUCACUAGAUAUUGAGACCAGAAACACAUGUUCACAAUGUUACUGAGGUAAUAUUUUUUUUUUUUCAUUGUCCCCCUGAUUGCCAGUAGAGAGUCACAUCCACAUUGGCUUCACUGGGCAGAAUGGGUGUUUACCGCUAAAGAGGCUUAUCUAAUGUCGUGAGUGGUUUUAAAAACAGGAAAACAUGGAUCCUCAA
This is a non-coding RNA of Gasterosteus aculeatus aculeatus (three-spined stickleback), 3291 nucleotides long. The record is from RefSeq and is a predicted model, not a curated record. NCBI's taxonomy places the organism in Eukaryota, Metazoa, Chordata, Actinopteri, Perciformes, Gasterosteidae.